This 271-nucleotide ribosomal RNA is filed under the name uncultured bacterium. RNAcentral's name for it is "partial 16S ribosomal RNA". It matches the Rfam family "Bacterial small subunit ribosomal RNA", at positions 335 to 596 of the family's 1533-position model. The record is from RNAcentral.
ACUCCUACGGGAGGCAGCAGUAGGGAAUUUUCCGCAAUGGACGAAAGUCUGACGGAGCAAUGCCGCGUGAGUGAUGAAGGUUUUCGAAUCGUAAAGCUUCUGUUGUAAGGGAAGAAUAGCAGUAGUAGGAAAUGACUACUGUGUUGACGGUACCUUACCAGAAAGCCACGGCUAACUACGUGCCAGCAGCCGCGGUAAUACGUAGGUGGCAAGCGUUAUCCGGAAUUAUUGGGCGUAAAGCGCAUGUAGGCGGCUCUUUAAGUCUGAUGUG